This 569-nucleotide ribosomal RNA is filed under the name Streptococcus uberis. Its description in RNAcentral is "bacterial SSU rRNA". It matches the Rfam family "Bacterial small subunit ribosomal RNA", at positions 135 to 692 of the family's 1533-position model. Lineage: Bacteria; Bacillati; Bacillota; Bacilli; Lactobacillales; Streptococcaceae. The record is from RNAcentral.
AGCGGGGGAUAACUAUUGGAAACGAUAGCUAAUACCGCAUGACAAUAGGGUACACAUGUACCGUAUUUAAAAGGGGCAACUGCUUCACUAUGAGAUGGACCUGCGUUGUAUUAGCUAGUUGGUAAGGUAACGGCUUACCAAGGCGACGAUACAUAGCCGACCUGAGAGGGUGAUCGGCCACACUGGGACUGAGACACGGCCCAGACUCCUACGGGAGGCAGCAGUAGGGAAUCUUCGGCAAUGGGGGGAACCCUGACCGAGCAACGCCGCGUGAGUGAAGAAGGUUUUCGGAUCGUAAAGCUCUGUUGUUAGAGAAGAACGGUAAUGGGAGUGGAAAAUCCAUUACGUGACGGUAACUAACCAGAAAGGGACGGCUAACUACGUGCCAGCAGCCGCGGUAAUACGUAGGUCCCGAGCGUUGUCCGGAUUUAUUGGGCGUAAAGCGAGCGCAGGCGGUUUGAUAAGUCUGAAGUUAAAGGCUGUGGCUUAACCAUAGUUCGCUUUGGAAACUGUCAAACUUGAGUGCAGAAGGGGAGAGUGGAAUUCCAUGUGUAGCGGUGAAAUGCGUA